Molecule: small RNA, 28 nt
Filed under: Bombyx mori (domestic silkworm)
Lineage: Eukaryota; Metazoa; Arthropoda; Insecta; Lepidoptera; Bombycidae
Description: ovarian small RNA-16115
Source: RNAcentral
GAUCGAAAACAAAUCGUCCUGCACUACC